GUAGGGAAUAUUGCACAAUGGAGGAAACUCUGAUGCAGCGACGCCGCGUGAGUGAUGAAGGCCUUCGGGUCGUAAAGCUCUGUCGCAGGGGAAUAACACAAUGAAGGUACCCUGCUAGAAAGGAUCGGCUAACUUCGUGCCAGCAGCCGCGGUAAGACGAGGGAUCCUAGCGUUGUUCGGAAUUAUUGGGCGUAAAGCGGGUGCAGGUGGCUUGGUAAGUCAGAUGUGAAAGCCUGGGGCUUAACCCCAGAAGUGCAGUUGAUACUGCUGAGCUUGAGUGCUGGAGAGGCUAUUAGAAUUACUGGUGUAGUGGUGAAAUACGUAGAUAUCAGGAGGAAUACCGGAGGCGAAGGCGGAUAGCUGGCCAGACACUGACACUCAGACCCGAAAGCGUGGGGAUCAAACAGGAUUAGAUACCCUUGUAGUCC
This 428-nucleotide ribosomal RNA is filed under the name uncultured bacterium. RNAcentral describes it as "bacterial SSU rRNA". It matches the Rfam family "Bacterial small subunit ribosomal RNA", at positions 354 to 796 of the family's 1533-position model. The record is from RNAcentral.